UACGAAGGGUGCAAGCGUUACUCGGAAUUACUGGGCGUAAAGCGUGCGUAGGUGGUUUGUUAAGUCUGAUGUGAAAGCCCUGGGCUCAACCUGGGAAUUGCAUUGGAUACUGGCAGGCUAGAGUGCGGUAGAGGAUGGCGGAAUUCCCGGUGUAGCAGUGAAAUGCGUAGAGAUCGGGAGGAACAUCUGUGGCGAAGGCGGCCAUCUGGACCAGCACUGACGCUGAGAAGCGAAAGCAUGGGGAGCGAACAGG
This 253-nucleotide ribosomal RNA is filed under the name uncultured bacterium. Its description in RNAcentral is "partial 16S ribosomal RNA". It matches the Rfam family "Bacterial small subunit ribosomal RNA", at positions 524 to 776 of the family's 1533-position model. The record is from RNAcentral.